GGUGGCUGCGACUGUUUAAUAAAAACACAGCACUCUGCAAACACGAAAGUGGACGUAUAGGGUGUGAUGCCUGCCCGGUGCUGGAAUGUUAAUUGAUGGGGUUAGCGUAAGCGAAGCUCUUGAUCGAAGCCCCAGUAAACGGCGGCCGUAACAAUAACGGUCCUAAGGUAGCGAAAUUCCUUGUCGGGUAAGUUCCGACCUGCACGAAUGGCAUAAUGUUGGCGGCGCUGUCUCCAGCAG
This 240-nucleotide ribosomal RNA is filed under the name Anophryoides haemophila. RNAcentral describes it as "partial Bacterial large subunit ribosomal RNA". It matches the Rfam family "Bacterial large subunit ribosomal RNA", at positions 1789 to 2028 of the family's 2925-position model. Lineage: Eukaryota; Ciliophora; Oligohymenophorea; Philasterida; Glauconematidae. The record is from RNAcentral.